ACUGAGGACCUGAGGUUGUCACAGCCGGACGGUGUGGGAGCUGGCACUGCUGGGGCUCCUGCUGCCUGGGACACGUACGGCUGCCCAGCGAUCCUGAACGCCGACCCCUGUGCACCUCAGUGUCCGUGACUGUGGAGCAGAGGGCAUCUUGAAGCAGACCAGCCACAUUGCAAGUGCUUGGAGGCCACGGAUGACUGGUGGCUGCUGUUCUGGGAGACAGAAUCCUAUAGCGUCCCCAGUCCUGCAGCACACAGGUGGGACAAUUCCAGCUCGAUGUCUCAGCCAGCAGGUUCCCACGUCCUCCCCGCCUCUUCCAGGCAGGAGGCAGAGUGACCCAGGUAACCAGCUCCGAGGUUUGCAGUUAUCGGGAGGAAGUUUCCAAUUGCUGGCUCACAUGUGGGAAAAUAUGAAAACAAGGCCAUAAAAAAAAGAACUCCUACUAAUGAAACCUCCUAGAUUCCAAGGACGAAAACGUAGCUCUGAGACCAAGUCCGUUUUCGCCCUUGCAUCUGAAAGGGAGUCUGGGGAAAUGCUAAUUUUGAACUUUCUAUACACCCUUCCUGCCUCUGGAUGUGGCCGCCUGACUCGAAUUCCUUUGCACAAUAAAAUGAGGGAGA
Symphalangus syndactylus (siamang) is the source of this 617-nucleotide long non-coding RNA. RefSeq lists it as uncharacterized. The record is from RefSeq and is a predicted model, not a curated record. Lineage: Eukaryota; Metazoa; Chordata; Mammalia; Primates; Hylobatidae.